GCCGAACGCUGGCGGCGUGCCUAAUACAUGCAAGUAGAACGCUGAAGGAGGAGCUUGCUUCUCUGGAUGAGUUGCGAACGGGUGAGUAACGCGUAGGUAACCUGCCUGGUAGCGGGGGAUAACUAUUGGAAACGAUAGCUAAUACCGCAUAAUAGCAGUUGUUGCAUGAUAACUGUUUGAAAGGUGCAAUUGCACCACUACCAGAUGGACCUGCGUUGUAUUAGCUAGUUGGUGGGGUAACGGCUCACCAAGGCGACGAUACAUAGCCGACCUGAGAGGGUGAUCGGCCACACUGGGACUGAGACACGGCCCAGACUCCUACGGGAGGCAGCAGUAGGGAAGCUUCGGCAAUGGACGGAAGUCUGACCGAGCAGCGCCGCGUGAGUGAAGAAGGUUUUCGGAUCGUAAAGCUCUGUUGUAAGAGAAGAACGAGUGUGAGAGUGGAAAGUUCACACUGUGACGGUAUCUUACCAGAAAGGGACGGCUAACUACGUG
Molecule: ribosomal RNA, 495 nt
Filed under: uncultured bacterium
Lineage: Bacteria
Description: partial 16S ribosomal RNA
Rfam family: Bacterial small subunit ribosomal RNA
Source: RNAcentral